ACACUGGUACUGAGACACGGACCAGACUCCUACGGGAGGCAGCAGUGAGGAAUAUUGGUCAAUGGGCGUAAGCCUGAACCAGCCAAGUCGCGUGAGGGAAGACGGUCCUACGGAUUGUAAACCUCUUUUGCCGGGGAGCAACGGGGUCCUUGCGAGGGCCCUAUGAGAGUACCCGGAGAAAAAGCAUCGGCUAACUCCGUGCCAGCAGCCGCGGUAAUACGGAGGAUGCGAGCGUUAUCCGGAUUUAUUGGGUUUAAAGGGUGCGUAGGCGGGCUGUUAAGUCAGCGGUCAAAUGUCGGGGCUCAACCCCGGCCUGCCGUUGAAACUGGCGGCCUCGAGUGGGCGAGAAGUAUGCGGAAUGCGUGGUGUAGCGGUGAAAUGCAUAGAUAUCACGCAGAACUCCGAUUGCGAAGGCAGCAUACCGGCGCCCUACUGACGCUGAGGCACGAAAGCGUGGGUAUCGAACAGGAUUAGAUACCCUGGUAGUCCACGCAGUAAACGAUGAAUGCUAGCUGUCCGGGACUUCGGUUCUGG
Molecule: ribosomal RNA, 534 nt
Filed under: uncultured bacterium
Lineage: Bacteria
Description: bacterial SSU rRNA
Rfam family: Bacterial small subunit ribosomal RNA
Source: RNAcentral